UCGAGGGGUAGAGCACUUCGGUGCUUGAGACCGGCGCACGGGUGCGUAACGCGUAUGCAAUCUGCCUUUCACAGAGGGAUAGCCCAGAGAAAUUUGGAUUAAUACCUCAUAGUAUUACGACUCGGCAUCGAGAUGUAAUUAAAGUCACAACGGUGAAAGAUGAGCAUGCGUCCCAUUAGCUAGUUGGUAAGGUAACGGCUUACCAAGGCAACGAUGGGUAGGGGUCCUGAGAGGGAGAUCCCCCACACUGGUACUGAGACACGGACCAGGCUCCUACGGGAGGCAGCAGUGAGGAAUAUUGGACAAUGGGCGCAAGCCUGAUCCAGCCAUGCCGCGUGCAGGAUGACGGUCCUAUGGAUUGUAAACUGCUUUUGUACGAGAAGAAACAUCCCGACGUGUCGGGACUUGACGGUAUCGUAAGAAUAAGGAUCGGCUAACUCCGUGCCAGCAGCCGCGGUAAUACGGAGGAUCCAAGCGUUAUCCGGAAUCAUUGGGUUUAAAGGGUCCGUAGGCGGUUUAGUAAGUCAGUGGUGAAAGCCCAUCGCUCAACGGUGGAACGGCCAUUGAUACUGCUGAACUUGA
RNAcentral lists this ribosomal RNA (582 nucleotides) under uncultured Bacteroidota bacterium. RNAcentral describes it as "bacterial SSU rRNA". It matches the Rfam family "Bacterial small subunit ribosomal RNA", at positions 62 to 645 of the family's 1533-position model. The record is from RNAcentral. Lineage: Bacteria; Pseudomonadati; Bacteroidota.